Molecule: microRNA, 21 nt
Filed under: Zea mays
Lineage: Eukaryota; Viridiplantae; Streptophyta; Magnoliopsida; Poales; Poaceae
Description: miRt27b
Source: RNAcentral
UUUAAGGACCUAAAAAUGCAU